UAAGGACCACGAUGUAUAAUAAACAAAAAAUACCUUCAAGUUUUGCAUUUGCUUUUUUUCAAAAAGUUUCUACGGCACUCCCUAUAAAUGUUAAUAUGGUGGAAACAACUGCUUGUAAAACAAAAAUACAUUUCUAAAAAUCUGGAAAACAUGGAAAUGGAAACUCACUCAACCAAAAACGGAUUAAGUGGAUGGCGGGGACGGCAAAAAGGCCGGCAAAGAGGCGCAAAAACUUGACCAGGCCAACGAUGGUUGGUGGGGAAUUAUUAUGCAGCAGCAAUUACUCGCCAAUUGUCGUCGCAAUGAGAUAGAGAGCGAAUGGCCAGCGGACUGGCAUCAAGAAUGGGAACGGGAACGGGAACAAAAGGAGAAAAAGCUGUUCGAAAAGGCGAUAAUCCAGUCGGGAACGAUGGACGCCGAGGAUCGCAAUGAUCAAACGCGUCUGCCAGCGUCAGCGGUUUUGGCCCGGCCGGUUAUGACCAAAUGCGGAGGAUUUGCAGUCGCCCCCUGUGAUUAUUUUUAUUAUAAUUGCGCGUUUAUUGGCGUGAGGAUAUGUUGCCACUCGAAUCCGUGGGGACACCACACAAUAAUGCCGCAUCGAGUCAACAACCACUAAUGACGACGACACCUUGGACGACGACACUCCUCUGGCCCACCGAUUCCAUCAUCUCUCUGGACACUGGACAAUCCGAAAACAUCCCACUAAUUUUUCCUUAUAUGUCCAAAGUGGUACACAAACGGCAAACGGCAAAUCUGCUUUGAUUUGUGUGGCAAACUUGGCGCUUGUUGUACAGCAUUUUUGCGUCUCUCAAACGUAGCAUUUUCCUCUGCAUUUGUUGCUCUUUAGU
Molecule: long non-coding RNA, 848 nt
Organism: Drosophila gunungcola (fruit fly)
Lineage: Eukaryota; Metazoa; Arthropoda; Insecta; Diptera; Drosophilidae
Exons: 4
Source: RefSeq, a predicted model, not a curated record